GACGAACGCUGGCGGCGUGCCUAAUACAUGCAAGUAGAACGCUGAAGGAGGAGCUUGCUCUUCUGGAUGAGUUGCGAACGGGUGAGUAACGCGUAGGUAACCUGCCUGGUAGCGGGGGAUAACUAUUGGAAACGAUAGCUAAUACCGCAUAACAGUAGAUGUUGCAUGACAUUUACUUAAAAGGUGCAAUUGCAUCACUACCAGAUGGACCUGCGUUGUAUUAGCUAGUUGGUGGGGUAACGGCUCACCAAGGCGACGAUACAUAGCCGACCUGAGAGGGUGAUCGGCCACACUGGGAAUGAGACACGGCCCAGACUCCUAAGGGAGGCAGCAGUAGGGAAUCUUCGGCAAUGGACGGAAGUCUGACCGAGCAACGCCGCGUGAGUGAAGAAGGGUUUCGGAUCGUAAAGCUCUGUUGUAAGAGAAGAACGAGGGUGAGAGUGGAAAGUUCACACUGUGACGGUAUCUGACCAGAAAGGGACGGCUAACUACGUG
RNAcentral lists this ribosomal RNA (495 nucleotides) under uncultured bacterium. RNAcentral describes it as "partial 16S ribosomal RNA". It matches the Rfam family "Bacterial small subunit ribosomal RNA", at positions 28 to 507 of the family's 1533-position model. The record is from RNAcentral.